This 432-nucleotide ribosomal RNA is filed under the name uncultured eukaryote. RNAcentral describes it as "bacterial SSU rRNA". It matches the Rfam family "Eukaryotic small subunit ribosomal RNA", at positions 592 to 1018 of the family's 1831-position model. The record is from RNAcentral.
CAAUAGCGUAUAUUAAAGUUGUUGCAGUUAAAAGCUCGUAGUUGGAUUUCUGGCUGGAGCGAUCGGUCCGCCCCGCAAGGGGUGUGUACUAGCGUCGUCUCCGACCAUCCUUGUGGGAACUGUGCGGCCGUUAACUCGGUUGUAUAUGGGAACACAUCGUUUACUGUGAAAAAUUAGAGUGUUUAAAGCAGGCUUAAGCCGUUGAAUACAUUAGCAUGGAAUAAUAAUCUAGGACUUCGGUUCUAUUUUGUUUGGUUUCUUAGAUCUGAAGUAAUGAUUGAUAGGGAUAGUUGGGGGUGGCUAGUAUUAAGGGGCCGAGAGGUGAAAUUACUUGGAUUCUCUUAAGACUAACUUAUGCGAAAGCAUUCACCAAGGAUGUCUUCUUUAAUUCAAGAACGAAAGUUGGGGGAGUCGAAGACGAUCAGAUACCAU